Molecule: ribosomal RNA, 479 nt
Filed under: uncultured Magnetospirillum sp.
Lineage: Bacteria; Pseudomonadati; Pseudomonadota; Alphaproteobacteria; Rhodospirillales; Rhodospirillaceae
Description: bacterial SSU rRNA
Rfam family: Bacterial small subunit ribosomal RNA
Source: RNAcentral
GUCGACGAUACCUUCGGGUAUAGUGGCGCACGGGUGAGUAACACGUGGGAAUAUACCUUUCAGUGGGGGAUAACAUCGGGAAACUGAUGCUAAUACCGCAUACGCCCUUAGGGGGAAAGAUUUAUCGCUGAAAGAUUAGCCCGCGUCCGAUUAGCUAGUUGGUGAGGUAAUGGCUCACCAAGGCGACGAUCGGUAGCUGGUCUGAGAGGAUGACCAGCCACACUGGGACUGAGACACGGCCCAGACUCCUACGGGAGGCAGCAGUGGGGAAUAUUGGACAAUGGGCGCAAGCCUGAUCCAGCCAUGCCGCGUGAGUGAUGAAGGCCUUAGGGUUGUAAAGCUCUUUCGACGGGGACGAUGAUGACGGUACCCGUAGAAGAAGCCCCGGCUAACUUCGUGCCAGCAGCCGCGGUAAUACGAAGGGGGCUAACGUUGUUCGGAAUUACUGGGCGUAAAGCGCACGCAGGCGGUUCGAUUAG